Molecule: ribosomal RNA, 650 nt
Filed under: uncultured Terriglobales bacterium
Lineage: Bacteria; Pseudomonadati; Acidobacteriota; Terriglobia; Terriglobales
Description: bacterial SSU rRNA
Rfam family: Bacterial small subunit ribosomal RNA
Source: RNAcentral
ACGCUUGGCGGCGUGCCUAACACAUGCAAGUUGAGCGGUAAGGCCCCUUCGGGGGUACACGAGCAGCGAACGGGUGAGUAUCGCGUGGGUAAUCUACCCAGAGGUGCGGGAUAGCCUCGGGAAACCGGGGGUAAUACCGCAUGAGUCCUCGACGGCACAAGUCGAUGAGGGGAAAGGCGGGGCUCCUUCGGGACCUGUCGCCUCUGGAUGAGCCCGCGUCCGAUUAGCUUGUUGGCGGGGUAAUGGCCCACCAAGGCAACGAUCGGUAGCCGGCCUGAGAGGGUGAACGGCCACAUUGGGACUGAGACACGGCCCAGACUCCUACGGGAGGCAGCAGUGGGGAAUAUUGGGCAAUGGGGGAAACCCUGACCCAGCGACGCCGCGUGNAGGAUGACGGCCUUCGGGUUGUAAACUCCUGUCAGGUGGGAAGAAAAGCUAUUCGGCUAAUAUCCGAAUGGAAUUGACGGUACCACCAAAGGAAGCCCCGGCUAACUCCGUGCCAGCAGCCGCGGUAAUACGGAGGGGGCAAGCGUUAUUCGGAUUUACUGGGCGUAAAGCGCACGUAGGUGGCAUGGUAAGUCACAGGUGAAAGCCCUCGGCUCAACCGGGGAACUGCCUUUGAAACUGCUUUGCUUGAGUCCGGGAGGGGG